CCUACGGGUGGCAGCAGUCGAGAAUCAUUCACAAUGGGGGAAACCCUGAUGGUGCGACGCCGCGUGGGGGAAUGAAGGUCUUCGGAUUGUAAACCCCUGUCAUGUGGGAGCAAAUUAAAAAGAUAGUACCACAAGAGGAAGAGACGGCUAACUCUGUGCCAGCAGCCGCGGUAAUACAGAGGUCUCAAGCGGUGUUCGGAAUCACUGGGCGUAAAGCGUGCGUAGGCUGUUUCGUAAGUCGUGUGUGAAAGGCGCGGGCUCAACCCGCGGACGGCACAUGAUACUGCGAGACUAGAGUAAGGGAGGGGGAACCGGAAUUCUCGGUGUAGCAGUGAAAUGCGUAGAUAUCGAGAGGAACACUCGUGGCGAAGGCGGGUUCCUGGACAUUAACUGACGCUGAGGCACGAAGGCCAGGGGAGCGAAAGGGAUUAGAUACCCCGGUAGUC
This 446-nucleotide ribosomal RNA is filed under the name uncultured bacterium. RNAcentral describes it as "partial 16S ribosomal RNA". It matches the Rfam family "Bacterial small subunit ribosomal RNA", at positions 338 to 795 of the family's 1533-position model. The record is from RNAcentral.